GGCUCGGGCGCGGGGCCGGCUGGGGCGGGGCAGCGGCGCGCGUUCCCCGCCGGCCACACCGGCCGCCUUGCGCCCGCCGAGGGGCGUGUGCUCGGGCCCGGAAUCCUUGGGCCCCAUGUUCACGGAGCUGAGGACCAAGCUGAGCCCCCCGCGAGGCCGCGCCAGGGCUGUGCGUGCCGGCUUCGGGGAACGCCGGGAUGUGGACGCCGCUGCCCAUUUGAGCUUCUGCCGAACCCUCCUGGAACACACGGUGUCCGCCGAGAGCAUCCCCUGCCACCUCCCUCAGACACCAGGCACCAGCCUCACGUGGCAUGAUUCCCGUAGCCAGAGGGCCGCCGGUGGCCGGCCAGUCAAGCUCCUGCAGCAGCCGGGCACGGAAGCCCCCCAGGCCCGGCUGUACUCCGACCACUAUGGCCUGUACCACACAAGCCCCUCCCUGGGUGGCCUGACAAGGCCUGUGGUCCUGUGGAGUCAGCAGGACGUGUGCAAGUGGCUCAAGAAGCACUGUCCCCACAACUACCUCGUCUAUGUGGAGGCCUUCUCCCAGCAUGCCAUCACAGGCCGGGCGCUGCUGCGGCUGAACGGGGAGAAGCUGCAGCGGAUGGGGCUGGCGCAGGAGGCCCAGCGGCAAGAGGUGCUGCAGCAGCUGCUGCGUCUGCAGGUGCGAGAGGAGGGGCGGAGCCUGCAGCUGCUCAGCCAAGCCUCCUUCGGAAACACGUCCUAGCCGCUGUGUGAGGCUCGAACCCCAGACCCCAGCACUGUGACCAGAGCCUGUGGCAAGGGCGAUGCAGAGCUGGCCCACAGCCCCUCUCGGACCCCGCCAGAGGCGCCAGGGGCUGAACCCAGCCCAGUGGACAGGAAAAUCCGAAUUCACAGAAGAGACAGUCCUGAGGCUUGCAUCCCCCACACCCACCCACCAGAGACCCAGCCAGCGCCUGAGCCACCACUCCAUGGGCCAGGGGGCCCAUGGUUUGGGCCUGGUGCUGUCUGGAGAAGGACAGAGAGGGUGGUCCUGAUAGCCCCCCACCCUCUGGCUCCUUUGCCUUCCCCCUCCCUCAGGAACUCUGAAAAUCUCGGGGACACAUGAGGCUGAGCCUCCAGCCUCUUCUCUGUGCCCUGAGCUGGCCUCCAGGUGGGAGGCUGGUUGUUGCAGGUCCUGAGUGGAAUUUGGACGACUGGCCUGGUGCCCUCCAUCCUGUAGGCCCAUACAGGAAGCCCCCGUGUCCUGUCUGGCCACCCUGAUUGUCCCAGCCCACCCUGUGCCAUCACAACGUUGUCUUUUCCGGAGGGUCUUUCCUAUCACUGCCCCACCUUCUCCCUCCUUUGUCUUGCCCCCCAUGCCCCCAUGCUCUUGUCUUGUCUUCUUUGUUUUGCGCUUUUUUAUAUUCUGACCAAAAGACCAGAAAUAAACCCGGUUCUCAAGUGCCCCAA
This is an RNA transcript of Lontra canadensis (Northern American river otter), 1431 nucleotides long. It is a transcript of the gene named sterile alpha motif domain containing 10, with no coding region annotated. The transcript is spliced from 6 exons. Lineage: Eukaryota; Metazoa; Chordata; Mammalia; Carnivora; Mustelidae. The record is from RefSeq and is a predicted model, not a curated record.